Molecule: unclassified non-coding RNA, 1033 nt
Filed under: Limulus polyphemus (Atlantic horseshoe crab)
Lineage: Eukaryota; Metazoa; Arthropoda; Merostomata; Xiphosura; Limulidae
Description: vicilin-like seed storage protein At2g18540, transcript variant X1
Source: RNAcentral
UAAGAGGCCCAAUGAUUUAUGGACACCUUGUACUACACAUUACAAAUAGCAUGCAUAUGUAAUAUUAUUAGACUAAUUAAUUUACAAGUAAAUUCUAAAUCAAAAACUACACUUGGAGGAAGAUUACUUUUAAUUAUUUCUCAUUCAGUGUUAUUAUAAUUAAAUACCAGUCUAUUAGAGUGAAGAUUAAAGAAAGGUGAAACUGGACUAGUGUGAAGAAAAUGUGUCAUUUCACAGUGAGAACUUGUCACAAUGUAGUGAAACACAGAAGUCAUGUUCAAAUGUGUUGUCAUAGAAAUACGUAAUUUACACUUCUAGUGACAAUAGAAGCUGCUUCCCCAGAAGAAGGAUCUCCAUUUACAGUUUUUGAUUUUGAAAUAAAGAAGGAAAAGUUUGAAGUACCAAAGGAAACUGAGUUACCUCUACCACUGAAGAUGGAUGGAGGUUAUGUGUUCACCCCUGUGUUUGUUUGUGUGUUUGUCAGCAAGAUUUCUCAAAAAUGGCUAAAUGGAUUUGGAUGAAAGUUGGGAUACAUUUGGACUAUGACCCAACUUAGAAGUGCUUAGUUUUGGAGGGCCAAGGUCAGGAAAAUAAAAAAAAUUCUAUCUGUUAACAUGGAGAGUGAUUUUUCAUGCUAUUUUUGCUCUAAAACUCAGUAAAAAAUUAUCAGAUUUUGAUGAAACUUGAUGGGCUUAUGUAAAGUAUUAUUCCUCAUUGUCAUAUCAAAAAUGGCCCAUGCCUGUUCAUAACAAUGAACAUAUAGACACAUUAUCUUAUUUUUUUGAGAGAUGAAUAUGAUCAAUGUUGCGUGCAGAGGUAUGUGCUCUACUGAGAGCCCUCUAGUUAUAUGUGUUUUAAGAAUGUCUUUGUAAAGUUUAGUUUGUUUUUUUGUGUGCAUCUGUUGCUAAAGUAUGAAAAGUUCUGGUCAAUUAUACAUUUUUUAAGCUUUUAAUUUCUUGUUAACGUUUUAAGACAUAAGACAUAGAAAUGGUUUGAUAAAUUAAUCUUUAUUUAUAUUUAAUAUGUUGUUUUC